Molecule: RNA transcript, 4853 nt
Organism: Humulus lupulus (European hop)
Lineage: Eukaryota; Viridiplantae; Streptophyta; Magnoliopsida; Rosales; Cannabaceae
Exons: 3
Source: RefSeq, a predicted model, not a curated record
UUUUGCAAAAAAAAUUAACUAAAAAGCCGAGGCUUUAAAUUUUUUGGUACAAUAGUGCGUUGGAGUCCUAAAACACUAAUUAAUAUAAUGAAUGACUUUAGAAACAACAAAAUUAUUUUUCAGAUUUACAUCUUCUCUAAAUGCGAUAUCAUCAGCGUGCCUCUUUCCUUACAAGCUUAAUAAAUUUCUUCUUCGUCAUUGAUUAUAGUCUUCAUUAUGAAUCAUCAUCAAGAUUGAAGCUUGACAUAAGUUAUUCUUGUAUUUUAUCUUUUAGGAAUUGCUUUGUAGAUGGAGAAAGAGAGAUCCAGCGGCUAUUGGUUUAUGAAACAUUCCUAAUAGAAGUUGGGAAGAUCAUUCUGUCAUCUGAGUUGCCCCUGUUCAGUCCUUUGGUUAAAAUAUGGCAGAUUAUCCUUAGUUUAAGUGCUACUAAUUGGUUUAUUUACAUGAGGGACUAUAAUUUAAGUUGCAGUUCAUGCAGCGAUGGGAUCUAGAUUGGAUUGUGUAACGUCUUGAAGAUGCUAAUAAGGCUUAGUGUCUUAAUUAGUGUGCCUGGAGGACCUAAUUGGAUAUAUGUGUGAAAUUAAUUGAUUAAAUGUAUGACUACGUGGCAUAUAUGAUUUAUAUGAUAAUAUGAAUAUAUAUAUAUGCAUGUUUAUGUGUAUUAAAUUUGCAUGUGGGUCUGUUCUUGUUAAUAGGGCAUAUUUGUGAUUUUGGCCCGUUGAUGGCAUAAAUGUGAUUAUAUGUAUGUAAAUGAUUGAGAUCACAUUAUUAUGAGGAUAUAUUUGUAGUAUUCGGCUCGAGGUGAUCUAAGUGAGCGGAUUAGCAGAAUAGUCACAACAGGGUCUAAUACCUGGCUCGGGGUGAACCUAGGGGUAUUUUGGGAAAUUUAAUGUAUAUUUGAGAUUUAUUGAGUAAUGGGUAAUUAUAUGGUGAUUAGAGCUUAUAGGACCACUUGAGAAUUAGCGGGAAAUGUGGUAAAAGGACGGGUUUGCCCUUAAGGGCAAUAGGAGGCUAAGAAUAAGGUUGAGGGUAUUUUGGUCAUUUGUGUGAGGGAUAAGCUUAGGAAACCUCAUGAAUCCACCAGAAAACACCUUUCAACUCUCUCUCUCUCUCCCUUCAUACGAUUCUCUCUCCCUCUCUUGUGCUUUGGGGAAGCCUUUGGAGUUUUGGAGAGCUAGCUUGGAAAUCUAAGAGGUUGAAGCUUGGGGACUGAAGAAUUGGAGCUAGGAUCAUUGGAGGAUAAGCUUAGGGUCGGAAUCACCAUCAAGGUAAGGUCUAAGUCUUGAUUCUUUUUUAAAUUUUUACUAUUAAGAAAGGUUUUGGCUGGGUUUUGAUGUUGCUUUAAUUGUUGAGUUAGGGUGAAAAUUGUGGUUGGUUUUUGGGUAAUUAUAAUGCCUAGGGUGUGUUGUUAAGAGUCCUAGACUCAAUUCUGGUUUUAGUUCAAGGUUACAAUAAAUUUUCACUGAAUUUUGUUGGGAGAAAAUGCAGGAAAAGCCCCAUGAUUUCUGGGUUCCCAGGGUCGCGCCGCGACCUUGUUCUUGAGCACCACAGCCCGCGUGACCUCAGAAGCCUUAGGGGUUUUUUGUUUCGUAGGCGUGCCGCGACCCUAUGGGGAAAGUCCUAGCGCAUGUCCCUAGGUGUUUAGGGGCUAGCGCCUCUAACUUGGAGGCGCACCGCGACCUUUAGGGCCAAGUCGCGGCCCGCCUAGGCAGCCUUAGCCAAAUUAGGUUUUUGGGCUCGAGAACUUAAACCUAAGUGUUCGGGAAGGGUUCUACUACUUGGUUUAGUAGAAUUCGAGGUCCCGAAGGCUGGUACGUUAUUCUUAAGGAAUUUAAUGGGUUUAGGUUUUAAUAGUUAUCCAUUGUCUCUAUGUGAUUAGGGUUACCGUUAAGGCUCAGGAUUGAGGAUCGUGCUCGGGACUGCUCUACAUCUUCAGCUCAGAAUUUGAGGUAAGAUGUAACGACCCAACUAUUCUAGACUUUGGACCAUUAAUAACUACUGUACACAGACACUAAUCUUAAGAAUAUAUAUAUAUAUAUGAAAUAACCAUAAAUUAUUUAAAACUAUAAAAAGUUAAAAUACAUAAAAUUCAUAGUAGGAUAUGGGAUCCCAUUGUUUUGAAAAUAAAAUAGAGCAUAACUUAAAUCUUAAAUAAAAUGGUUACAAUAUUAAGUGCGGAAAUACAUAAAAAUCAUAAUUUAAAAGACUUAAACAACUUCAUCCUCGAAUCGUUCGCGCAGUCCACCGAUUUCAUUCUCCCUCAAUACACAUUCCCAAGCUGCCAAGAAUCUUCCCGUCGCCAUAACUAUUUUCCUGCACAUAUAAAACAUAAAUGAAUGAGCCUAAUGCCUAGCAAGGAAAAUCUACUACAAGCAUGAAACAUAAUCAUACACAUAAACUAUGAACAUCUAUCAUAUACUAUAACACAUAUAUCAUAAUUCUAACCCAUGUACAUGGUAACUAUUAGGGUUUGCUAACUAAGCAACUAUAAGCCUCAGACUACAAUGAGGUUUGCUAGUCAAGCAACUAUAAGCCCCAAAAACAUAUAACUAUUGGGGUUUGCUAUAUAGCAACUAUAAGCCCCAAAACACAAAUGUGAUAAGGUUUGCUAUAUAACAACUAUAAGCCCCAAACAUACAUAUAUCAUACACAUAAAAUCAUACUAUAGCAUAAUCAUAACAUCUUACAUAAACAUAGCACAUAUCACACAAGAACUAUCCUAUUUUCUUUACCAAAAUACUGGGAUGAUGAGAACAAGGUUGGGAUUUUGGAACACUCCUAAAAACCAUUAAUAGAAAGGUGAGUAUUCUAAAAGAAAGAGAUGAAGAGGAAUGAACUAAACCAUCGAGAAGAUACUUACCAACGAGAACCUCAAGUUCAAAGAACUUAGAUGCCUAAUCAAGAAUAAAGAAUACUGAGUUAGGAUUUGAGUAGAGAAAAACUAUAAGAACUAAUGAAACAAUACAGAAAAGGAACUAAGAAUAGGAAUACCUUUGAAAAAGCUAUGAUCGAACUACACCUCAAAACCGAAAUACACACUAUGAACCUUACUUCUCAAGUGUCUAAUAAGCUUAGAAUGAUAAAGCUUAUAACCCCAACCCAAGUGUUUAUCACUCUAUAGUCUCACUAGCACCUGGAAGGCUCUGAUCAAUGCUUGAAGAAUGAAUGAAAAGGCUUGGUGCUAGGUCCCAUUUAUAGAGUUCUAGAAAUAAAAAUCUUCUUUUUGGCUUUGAAUAAAAAUAAUGAAUUUAAUUGAAAAUAUUUUAAUAUUCUUUAGUCAAAGGCUUAGGACUUGGUCAAAUUGUUCAGAGAGAGGUUUAAUGAGUCAAAGCUUCAUUUUUAAAAACAAAAAUAAUAAAAACAAAUAGAAUCCUAACUUCUAACUCCCUAAAUCUCGUAACUCUAAACUCACCUACAGUAAAAUCAAUAUAACUGGAGUUGUAGGACUCCGAUUUAAACCAUCUCUAUACCAUUAGAAAUCUAAUUCAAUUAUUAACAACUUUCUAGAAAUACUAUUUUUCGAAAUUCAUAACAUAACUGGGUCAAAAAUAGGUCGGAAGUUACAGUACCCUAAAGUUACCAUAAUUCUAUUUAAUUAUCUAAAUACAACCUAAUCCACAAAUAAAUAAAAUUAUGACAAAUGUCAUGCUCCUAACAGAUUCUAGUGAAGACUAAGUCUUAUAUUUCCCUUAUUUUAUCAUUAAAAUAAUAAUUCCUUAAUAAUCAUGCAUAUGACAAGUGUCAUAAUCCUAUUGGCUCUAUCUAAACCUUAGGAAUAACUAUGCUCAUGACAAGUGUCAUAUUCUUAUUGGCUCUAUCUAAACCUUAGGAAUAACUAUGCUCAUGACAAGUGUCAUAUUCUUAUUGGCUCUAUCUAAACCUUAGGUUAUAAUAAUUAUCAUAUUAAUAACCAGCAAUAUUAAUCAAACCUUAUGUUAUAAUUAAUAUUCUUAAACUAUAGGUUAAACUUAUAAAAUCCAUAACUAUUGCUAAGAGUUUUUAACUAAGUCCCGGCUUGAACCAAAAUCCACAGUAAUAAACAUACUAUAACUACUACUAGUUAUUACUAUUACUACUACUAUCUAACUAACUAAGUAAAGUUCUUGGACUCUACAUAAGAAAACUGCACCCGGGUUGUGAAUGGGCUGAAACCCCCCUGUAAAUGAAUAUAUGUGAGAUUGUAAAUGUAUCUGUGUCUAAGAAUAUCUGGAUAGGCAUGUUUGUUCGUGUUGUUUUUUAUUGCCUAUCUUGCAAUCUAUUUAUCUGUUAUAUUUGAUCUAAAAGUCUGGCCUAAGGGAGUCGAGGCUGGUGUUAAGCGUGCGGAAUGGAGCCCAGCCUAAGUGAGUCGAGGUCAGCUAAAUAACUUAAGGGCUCGGCCUAAGGGCGUCGACACUUAACUAACUGUACUGAAAGCUGAGUUUGAGUUACAUGUUGGAUUAAACUAUUUAUUAUUGUCUAGCUAGUUGCUUGUGUUCUGUAAUUAUUCACUUGAUCGGUUUGAGUUGACUGCAUAUGUAAUGUUGUUCAUUUAUGCAUGUGAAUUAAGUUUUCUUGCUAAGUCUUGGCUCACAGGUGCUAUGUGGUGCAGGUAAGGGAAAGGGAAGCUGGACCAGCCGUGAGUUGGAGGGCUUUGGGGCAGUGUGUACAUCGGCAGCUGCUCGACCGCCAUGGCCGAGGGAUUGAGAGGGAUUAGAGCCAAAAUUGUAUUUUGCCACUUAGGCUAGCUUCAAUUGUAUUUACUUUUAAGGGUUGCAAUUGCCUUGUAAACACUAUUUUUGGGAUCCCAUGUACCAACUCUUAUUUUUAAUGAAAGUCAACAAUUUUAUGAUCAAAAUCUUAUAACCCUAACUCGU